Molecule: ribosomal RNA, 465 nt
Filed under: uncultured bacterium
Lineage: Bacteria
Description: partial 16S ribosomal RNA
Rfam family: Bacterial small subunit ribosomal RNA
Source: RNAcentral
CUACGGGACGCAGCAGUGAGGAAUUUUGCGCAAUGGGGGGAACCCUGACGCAGCAACGCCGUGUGAGUGAAGAAGGCCUUUGGGUCGUAAAGCUCUGUCAACUGGGAAGAAGUUACUGUGCUUUAAUAGAGUGCAGUAUUGACGGUACCAGUGGAGGAAGCGUCGGCUAACUCCGUGCCAGCAGCCGCGGUAACACGGGGGACGCAAGCGUUAUUCGGAAUUAUUGGGCGUAAAGGGCGCGUAGGCGGUCUUGUCGGUCAGGUGUGAAAGCCCGGGGCUCAACCCCGGACGUGCACUUGAAACAGCAAGACUUGAGUACGGGAGAGGAAAGCGGAAUUCCUGGUGUAGAGGUGAAAUUCGUAGAUAUCAGGAGGAACACCGAUGGCGAAGGCAGCUUUCUGGACCGAAACUGACGCUGAGGCGCGAAGGCGUGGGUAGCGAACGGGAUUAGAUACCCGAGUAGUC